This 69-nucleotide non-coding RNA is filed under the name unclassified sequences. RNAcentral's name for it is "pemK RNA". It matches the Rfam family "pemK RNA". The record is from RNAcentral.
AUAAUGAUACUUCUAUUCCGUUGUUGCCAGCCCGCCGAGAGAAAAGGGCCGGAGGUGAGAUGCCUAUGA